RNAcentral lists this ribosomal RNA (441 nucleotides) under uncultured bacterium. Its description in RNAcentral is "partial 16S ribosomal RNA". It matches the Rfam family "Bacterial small subunit ribosomal RNA", at positions 338 to 795 of the family's 1533-position model. The record is from RNAcentral.
CCUACGGGAGGCAGCAGUGGGGGAUAUUGCACAAUGGGGGAAACCCUGAUGCAGCGACGCCGCGUGGGUGAAGAAGUACUUCGGUAUGUAAAGCUCUAUUAGCAGGGAAGAAAGAAGACGGUACCUGACUAAGAAGCCCUGGCUAACUACGUGCCAGCAGCCGCGUGAAUACGUAGGGGGCGAGUGUUAUCCGGAUUCACUGGGUGGAAAGGGAGCGUAGACGGCCGUGCAUGCCAGGGGUGAAAGCCCGGGGCCCAACCCCGGGCCUGCUGUUGAAACGGGGCGGCUGGAGUGCGGACGGGGCAGGAGGAAUGCGUGGUGUAGCGGUGAAAUGCGUAGAUAUCAGGAGGAACACCGACGGCGAAGGCAGCCUGCUGGACCGCGAGUGACGUUGAGGCUCGAAAGCGUGGGGAGCGAACAGGAUUAGAUACCCGAGUAGUC